This 795-nucleotide ribosomal RNA is filed under the name uncultured bacterium. Its description in RNAcentral is "bacterial SSU rRNA". It matches the Rfam family "Bacterial small subunit ribosomal RNA", at positions 8 to 796 of the family's 1533-position model. The record is from RNAcentral.
AGAGUUUGAUCAUGGCUCAGAUUGAACGCUGGCGGAAUGCUUUACACAUGCAAGUCGAACGGCAGCACGGGGGCAACCCUGGUGGCGAGUGGCGAACGGGUGAGUAAUACAUCGGAACGUGCCCAGUCGUGGGGGGAUAACGUAGCGAAAGCUACGCUAAUACCGCAUACGAACUCUGGUUGAAAGCGGGGGAUCGCAAGACCUCGCGCGAUUGGAGCGGCCGAUGGCAGAUUAGGUAGUUGGUGGGGUAAAGGCUCACCAAGCCGACGAUCUGUAGCUGGUCUGAGAGGACGACCAGCCACACUGGGACUGAGACACGGCCCAGACUCCUACGGGAGGCAGCAGUGGGGAAUUUUGGACAAUGGGCGCAAGCCUGAUCCAGCCAUUCCGCGUGCAGGAUGAAGGCCCUCGGGUUGUAAACUGCUUUUGUACGGAACGAAAAGGCUCUCUCUAAUACAGGGGGCUGAUGACGGUACCGUAAGAAUAAGCACCGGCUAACUACGUGCCAGCAGCCGCGGUAAUACGUAGGGUGCAAGCGUUAAUCGGAAUUACUGGGCGUAAAGCGUGCGCAGGCGGUUAUGUAAGACAGGUGUGAAAUCCCCGGGCUUAACCUGGGGAACUGCAUUUGUGACUGCAUAGCUAGAGUACGGUAGAGGGGGAUGGAAUUCCGCGUGUAGCAGUGAAAUGCGUAGAUAUGCGGAGGAACACCGAUGGCGAAGGCAAUCCCCUGGACCUGUACUGACGCUCAUGCACGAAAGCGUGGGGAGCAAACAGGAUUAGAUACCCUAGUAGUCC